AACGAACGCUGGCGGCAUGCCUAACACAUGCAAGUCGAACGAGACCUUCGGGUCUAGUGGCGCACGGGUGCGUAACGCGUGGGAACCUGCCUUUAGGUUCGGAAUAACUCAGAGAAAUUUGAGCUAAUACCGGAUGAUGUCUUCGGACCAAAGAUUUAUCGCCUUUAGAUGGGCCCGCGUUGGAUUAGCUAGUUGGUGGGGUAAAGGCCUACCAAGGCGACGAUCCAUAGCUGGUCUGAGAGGAUGAUCAGCCACACUGGGACUGAGACACGGCCCAGACUCCUACGGGAGGCAGCAGUGGGGAAUAUUGGACAAUGGGCGAAAGCCUGAUCCAGCAAUGCCGCGUGAGUGAUGAAGGCCUUAGGGUUGUAAAGCUCUUUUACCCGAGAUGAUAAUGACAGUAUCGGGUGAAUAAGCGCCGGCUAACUCCGUG
This 433-nucleotide ribosomal RNA is filed under the name uncultured bacterium. RNAcentral's name for it is "partial 16S ribosomal RNA". It matches the Rfam family "Bacterial small subunit ribosomal RNA", at positions 29 to 507 of the family's 1533-position model. The record is from RNAcentral.